AUUGAACGCUGGCGGCAUGCCUUACACAUGCAAGUCGAACGGCAGCGCGGACUUCGGUCUGGCGGCGAGUGGCGAACGGGUGAGUAAUACAUCGGAACGUACCCUGUUGUGGGGGAUAACUAGUCGAAAGAUUAGCUAAUACCGCAUACGACCUGAGGAUGAAAGUGGGGGACCGCAAGGCCUCACGCAGCAGGAGCGGCCGAUGUCUGAUUAGCUAGUUGGCGGGGUAAAGGCCCACCAAGGCGACGAUCAGUAGCUGGUCUGAGAGGACGAUCAGCCACACUGGGUCUGAGACACGGCCCAGACUCCUACGGGAGGCAGCAGUGGGGAAUUUUGGACAAUGGGGGCAACCCUGAUCCAGCAAUGCCGCGUGUGUGAAGAAGGCCUUCGGGUUGUAAAGCACUUUUGUCCGGAAAGAAAUCGCGCUGGUUAAUACCUGGCGUGGAUGACGGUACCGGAAGAAUAAGCACCGGCUAACUACGUGCCAGCAGCCGCCGUAA
RNAcentral lists this ribosomal RNA (500 nucleotides) under uncultured bacterium. RNAcentral's name for it is "partial 16S ribosomal RNA". It matches the Rfam family "Bacterial small subunit ribosomal RNA", at positions 30 to 523 of the family's 1533-position model. The record is from RNAcentral.